AUGCACGCUGGCGGCGUGCUUAACACCUGCAGGUCGAACGGAAAGGCCAGUGCUUGCACUGGUACUCGAGUGGCGAACGGGUGAGUAACACGUGGGUGAUCUGCCCUGCACUUCGGGAUAAGCCUGGGAAACUGGGUCUAAUACCGGAUAGGACAAUGGUUUGGAUGCCGUUGUGGAAAGUUUUUUCGGUGUGGGAUGAGCUCGCGGCCUAUCAGCUUGUUGGUGGGGUAAUGGCCUACCAAGGCGUCGACGGGUAGCCGGCCUGAGAGGGUGUACGGCCACAUUGGGACUGAGAUACGGCCCAGACUCCUACGGGAGGCAGCAGUGGGGAAUAUUGCACAAUGGGCGCAAGCCUGAUGCAGCGACGCCGCGUGGGGGAUGACGGCCUUCGGGUUGUAAACUCCUUUCGCUAGGGACGAAGCGUAUUUGUGACGGUACCUGGAGAAGAAGCACCGGCUAACUACGUG
Molecule: ribosomal RNA, 467 nt
Filed under: uncultured bacterium
Lineage: Bacteria
Description: partial 16S ribosomal RNA
Rfam family: Bacterial small subunit ribosomal RNA
Source: RNAcentral